Molecule: ribosomal RNA, 653 nt
Filed under: uncultured archaeon
Lineage: Archaea
Description: bacterial SSU rRNA
Rfam family: Archaeal small subunit ribosomal RNA
Source: RNAcentral
GCCUAAAGCGUCCGUAGCCUGCUUUGUAAGUUUUCGGUUAAAUCCAUAUGCUCAACAUAUGGGCUGCCGGAAAUACUGCACAGCUAGGGAGUGGGAGAGGUAGACGGUACUCGGUAGGAAGGGGUAAAAUCCUUUGAUCUAUCGAUGACCACCUGUGGCGAAGGCGGUCUACCAGAACACGUCCGACGGUGAGGGAUGAAAGCUGGGGGAGCAAACCGGAUUAGAUACCCGGGUAGUCCCAGCUGUAAACUAUGCAAACUCGGUGAUGCGUUGGCUUGUAGCCAGCGCAGUGCCGCAGGGAAGCCGUUAAGUUUGCCGCCUGGGAAGUACGUACGCAAGUAUGAAACUUAAAGGAAUUGGCGGGGGAGCACCACAAGGGGUGAAGCCUGCGGUUCAAUUGGAGUCAACGCCAGAAAUCUUACCCGGAGAGACAGCAGAAUGAAGGUCAAGCUGAAGACUUUACCAGACAAGCUGAGAGGUGGUGCAUGGCCGUCGCCAGCUCGUGCCGUGAGAUGUCCUGUUAAGUCAGGUAACGAGCGAGACCCUUGCCUCUAGUUGCCACCAUUACUCUCAGGAGUAGUGGGGCGAAUUAGCGGGACCGCUGCAGUUAAUGUGGAGGAAGGAAAGGGCCACGGCAGGUCAGUAUGCCCCAA